AAGCGUUGUCCGGAUUUAUUGGGCGUAAAGAGCGUGUAGGCGGCUUGGUAAGUCCGUUGUGAAAACUCGAGGCUCAACCUCGAGACGUCGGUUGAAACCGUAUGGCUAGAGUCCGGAAGAGGAGAGUGGAAUUCCCGGUGUAGCGGUGAAAUGCGCAGAUAUCGGGAAGAACACCCGUGGCGAAGGCGGCUCUCUGGGACGGUACUGACGCUGAGACGCGAAAGCGUGGGGAGCGAACAGG
RNAcentral lists this ribosomal RNA (241 nucleotides) under uncultured bacterium. RNAcentral's name for it is "partial 16S ribosomal RNA". It matches the Rfam family "Bacterial small subunit ribosomal RNA", at positions 536 to 776 of the family's 1533-position model. The record is from RNAcentral.